GCUGGUGUAGCUCAGUGGUAGAGCAGCUGAUUUGUAAUCAGCAGGUCGGGGGUUCAAAUCCCUUCGCCAGCUCAA
Molecule: transfer RNA, 75 nt
Filed under: Deltaproteobacteria bacterium
Lineage: Bacteria; Pseudomonadati; Myxococcota; Myxococcia
Description: tRNA-Thr
Rfam family: tRNA
About the family: Transfer RNA (tRNA) molecules are approximately 80 nucleotides in length. Their secondary structure includes four short double-helical elements and three loops (D, anti-codon, and T loops).
Source: RNAcentral